This 2244-nucleotide long non-coding RNA is filed under the name Marmota monax (woodchuck). Lineage: Eukaryota; Metazoa; Chordata; Mammalia; Rodentia; Sciuridae. The record is from RNAcentral.
CGGAGGGGCGGGUCACCCCGCAGCCGGGCCUCGGCCUCCACCGCUCGUCGCCGCGCCCCGCCCGCGCGCCCGCCGCCGCACGUCCCCCGCUGGCGGCCACCAUGAGCACAGGCCUGCGGUACAAGAGCAAGCUGGCGACCCCAGGUGAGCCCGGCUCCCGCCCGCGUGCCCGCGCGCGCCUUUGUCCCUGACGCCUGCCCGCCUCUCACCGUGUCUCUCCGUCUCUCUCCCACCCGCCCGCUUGGACCCGCCCGGACCUGGACCCGACCCCGACCGCGACCCCGGCCCGAACCCCGCAGAGGACAAACAGGUACCUGAGCUCCGCCGCCGUUCCCCUUUUAGCAAGACCGGCUGGCUGUCACCUAUUGUGGCACGGAUGCUGCUGGCUCCCAGGCACGACCCCGCCCCCGCCAGCCGUCAUCUGUCCCUGUCGCGAUAAUCGAUUGUCUGUCAGGGCGGCGUUGCCGCGCCUGGAGCUGAGCAGGGAAGGAGUGGGCUACAUGCCUUGCCCCCUGACCCUCACAGCAGGAGCCUGGUCCCCUCCUCAGGAUGGGAGGAUGGGCUCACGGUAUCUCUCCCACUGGUCCAGCACCAGCAUCUCCUUGCCGACCUGGCUCAAAGGCCAUGUGCAGGAGGUCUUGAGUGAAGCAAUGGUCAUGGAAGACCACAGGCUGGGGAAGAAGGGUCUCUGGGUCCACUAGCCAGUGCAUGGUCCCUGACCACUACCAUGGGGAACCUCUGGUCACCCCACUUCACACCCCUGCACCUUUAUGCUCCUCUCCCUGCCACACACAAAUUCAUAUACUCUAGACUGUAGCUGGGCCUCUUCUUAGACUGGGAGCCUCCAAGCCUGGUCUGAGUCAUCCCAGGGACCAGAAAUGGUCUUCAAACCCAGUGGGUACGGAUAGGCUUGUGACCUUCUAAAGGGGCUGGCCUGGUCCCAGCCUCUGAGAAUAGGAAGUUGACCUGGGCAUCCCCUGUGAAAAUUCAACCAGGCUGGCGGUUAAACCAAGCUGUUGUGACCUGAGAGAGAGGGGAGGGGAAUGGGUAAGCAAGUGAGAUAGGGGCUUCCACUUGCCCUGCUGAUGCCCUGCUGGUUUGAGCUCAGACAGGUUUUGGGGAAAGAAGGGCCUAAUUCUGGCACCACAGGAGCCAUGAAAACUCCCAUCAGAGAUGGGGGUUCGCACAUAGCACUCACAGCAGGGAGGGAACCUGGACUCCUAGCCCGAGGUACAGCAGGCAGGGCAGGAACAGCUGGCAGGUGGUGUGAACUGGGAGUCUACUGACUGCCCAGUGCCAGUCUUCUGGCAGGGACAUGCCCCACCCGGGGACUGAUGAGUCUCAUUGAGAGGGACUCCCCAGGGAACCUGAGUAGAGAGCUGCCUCCCCAUCACAGGACAUUAGACAAAGCCUGAGAUGCAGAGAUGUGCUGCCAAGCUAUUGUUCAAGGGACAGGGAAAGAGUGGAGGAUGCUGAGACCAACCUGCUCAGCUUCUCCUGGGACUGUGAGUGACCCAAUCUUGGCCUAAGGGCUCUCUGAGUCACCAGGCUUUGGCACCUGCUGUUCCGCACCAACUAGGUUUUCUUGCCUAUUGCUGCCAGGGUGGAGACCCCCCCCCCCUGCUGAAUUGUAAGCCCCUUCAGUCCUGUAUCUGCCCAUCCUUUGGUGGUUAGCUAGGAGCCAGCCAAUCCCAUUCCCUGCCCUAGGCUCAGAGGGAGAAGGUAUCUCAGAGGCACAUGGAGGGAGCCACUAGAUGGGGCCAGGUGGUCAAGUGUUUGGAAUGUACCCCAGUGAAUCUGGGGGAGGCCAGAAGCACACAAUAGCUUCAGUGUGACCACUGAAGUCACUGAAGACCAAUUGAGUCUCAGCUUCUCCAGACCUCCUUUUUACUCUACACAAGAGGUUCAGAGAAGCAGCUGGUGGGCGGGGGGUAACUCUGUCAGCCCUCUAUGUCCCCUUACCUCCUCUCAGGCAGCAGUGGGGGCUCUGUUGGCUUUGUUGCUGCUUCCAGAACUGACUUGGGUGAUUCUAAGAAUGGAAAUGCCUAGAGAGUCUCAGACACCAGGAGGAGGUGGGCGCAGCUGUCAUACAGCUCCGGAAGCCCUAAGGAAUAUUUGUUGUGCCUCAGUGACUAGAGAAAGAGGGUGACAGGGCCCUUCCCUUGGGACUCCCCCACUGAAUGCACAAGCUUUGACUGGGCCUAGCUGGAUGAUGGGGCAGGCAGGUCAGGAGCUAGGAGUGAG